AUGCCUGGAUCUUUGAAUGACAUCAAUGUUGUCAACCGGUCACCACUGAUGAAUAAGAUUGCAAAUGGUGAGUUGCCACUGGUGCAGUUUGUAGCAAAUUGCCGUAUAUACAACUAUGGCCAUUAUCUAGCGGAUGGCAUCUAUCCAAAGUGGCAAACCUUCAUGAAGCCGUUGAAAAAACCGGAAGGUAAGAAAAAUCUUGAUUUCCACAAUGCUCAGGCGGCGGCUAGAAAAGAUGUGGAGAGAGCUUUUGGGAUUUUGCAAGCCCAAUUUGCUAUUGUGAGAGGACCGGCUAGAUUUUGA
Molecule: ribosomal RNA, 303 nt
Filed under: Triticum aestivum (bread wheat)
Lineage: Eukaryota; Viridiplantae; Streptophyta; Magnoliopsida; Poales; Poaceae
Description: partial small subunit ribosomal RNA
Source: RNAcentral